CAAACCUGCCAGGGCUCACUCCCUCUGUGCAUGGACUAUGGCCCUCUGGCUGCAGGGAGCCUGUUCCACGUGACAGGAGGCUUGGACAGCAGCGGCAGCUCAGCCUAGGCAGCAGGCGGCCGAAGGAUUUCUUUCUGUGUGUCCCUGUAUCAACUCCAGGGAAGACGUGGGACUGAUCAGCCCAGAGAGCAAUGAAAACUCACAUCUAGACAGACAACACAAACACUCAUGACCACUUCAUUCAUCGUGGGGGCAAGUUGGUACCUGCGCAAGAACCACUGGCAGGUGAGCUGAUCAGCUAAGUGCGGUGCUUCCAUACAGUGGAAUAUCCCUCAGAAAGAAGCAGGAUGUGCCGCUGAUAUGCUGGGUGAACCCCAAAACAUUACUGAAGAGAAGAAGCCAGACAGAGAAGGUCGAAUAGCAUUCAAUUCCAAAUACAUAAAAAUUCUAGAAAAGUCCUACCGCCACUGGCUUUUGCCUGGUCUCUAGAACCACCUGAAUGCUGUCACUUCCACCAGAUGACCUCAGCAGCAGGGGCUCCAGAGGAAGGCCCUGAGACCCUUGCUCUCCCAUCCGCCCCUAGCCUGGAGCCAGCUCUGCAUCUGUAACAGACAUUCAUGAAGGUUUUUGUCAUAAGGCACACGAGACAGAAGGAAAGUGAGAAAUCAUCUCCCCUCCCUCGAGCGGAUGGCCAUCCUACAAUCUUUUUCCCUCCAUGCUCUUCCUGAGAUUUUGGGCGUGUACUUGCAGGGCAUGAUUUUUAAACCGCUGGGUCUGGGACUGGAACCAGCAGUCAGCCAUGUGGGAUUCAGCUGCCUUAACCUCCCACCUUCCGCUGGCCCUAUUUCUGCCCUUUAAAGCCACUUGGAAAUGAUCUUUGUGAUUAUGCAAUCAAUUAUACAUGUAGAUUUACUCAUUCCAUUUAUCUUCACUUUUUAGCAAUUGCUUUUAAAUUUUUAGUUGUGUUUUAUAAUUCGCUAAAACAUUUACAUGUGACAGUGCUGAAAUUUAUCUGGGCCCUGUAUUCCUGGAAAACUGUGACAUUAAAGAAUUCUACUCA
This is a long non-coding RNA of Tupaia belangeri chinensis (Chinese tree shrew), 1060 nucleotides long. RefSeq lists it as uncharacterized. The record is from RefSeq and is a predicted model, not a curated record. Lineage: Eukaryota; Metazoa; Chordata; Mammalia; Scandentia; Tupaiidae. The transcript has 4 exons.